CCAGUGGUCGAUUAAAACUCCUCUUUGAAAUUAUUUAUCAGUUAAUAAAUUAUUCGUCUGAUUCUUCACUAAUCAGUGAAUUAUUCACCAUUCUAUCGGCACUUCCGUUAGAUAUAUAGGUCUAUAGGGUUUGCAAAGUCAGCAGCAGCGCUCCUCCUCCUGAUGCCCCCCCCCCCCCCCCCCACGUAGUUGGGGCAUCAUUUUUCAGUAAGCCUUGUUAGUAACGCUUCUUAAGAUGAUGAUCAAGCAGUUAAACAUCGAAAUUUGCUUUAAUUAUAUACACCGUUUUCUGCUGAUCGCUCACAGUAGGGGCUAUGGGAGUGGUGGUGGUGGGGUAUGACAGGGCAUCCCAUCAGCUAUAACAAUUUUAUACAAAAAUAUGAAGAAUAAACCCACGAAAUCGAUGACUCAAGCUUUCAAAAGGGCGAAUCACCAACAAAGAUGUCGGCCAAAGGACAAACAAAAAAUUCCCGCAAAAUCGCCAGUCAAAUUUUGGGGAUUGCCAUCAGUUGGGAUUAGUAGUUGUAGCGCGGUCCCCCCUCUCUGUCACGGCUCUCCUCUCGAAAAUAGGAGUAGUAAUGAUGGGACAGGCUCUAGAUCGGCUCUUUCAGAUCCCAAUGUAGAAAAAUAUGUAUUUAAUUCCUUUAAUUUUGCCAGUUAUUAAAAAAAAUAUGCAUUAUCACUACGGCAUCAGUAUUAAAGUGCUUUACCUAUGUAAUUACUUAACUAGUCAAUUUUAAAAUAAACGUAAUUUUCAUAAAUAGCUUUUCUCGUCUAAUCCUUUUAAAUGGUUGUUGCCGUGAACAAACCACCAAUUUUAAUGCGGAAAAUGUUUUCUUUGUUUACUGAGUGACGGAGAACCGCAGUACCUGUCAAGAACUUAACAACAGCAGUCUUCAGCAGAAGUUCCAGUCAUACUUACCGUGGAUUAAACUUUGAAGUGAUUUAGUGACAUAUGGAUCUUAUCAUUUGCAUCACAGUCAUGUGUUACGCAAAUAUGGAAUAAUUCUAUCAAGUUACCAUUGGACCCGGACCUGCCAAAGGGGAACCCGCUUACCUAUCUCCUAAAUCACACUAAAAACAAGAUGUGUUUGUAUACUUUCGGAUUCAUUUCAUUGGCCUCCGGAUGAUGCAGCCCAAGUACUCACUUCCUAUCCUUAUGGUUCACGUCAAGUGUUUGUUUAUCAUUCAGAAGUCUAUUUUUGUGGUUCAAUGAUAUACAUUACAAUUAAAUUCAUUGUAACUUA
Long non-coding RNA from Macrobrachium nipponense, 1247 nucleotides. RefSeq lists it as uncharacterized. NCBI's taxonomy places the organism in Eukaryota, Metazoa, Arthropoda, Malacostraca, Decapoda, Palaemonidae. The transcript is spliced from 2 exons. The record is from RefSeq and is a predicted model, not a curated record.